AGACAGAGGGUGCAAACGUUGCUCGGAAUCACUGGGCGUAAAGCGGGUGUAGGCGGGUCGACAAGUCUGGUGUGAAAGCCCUGGGCUCAACCCAGGAAUUGCAUCGGAAACUGUCGGUCUUGAGUGCCGGAGAGGGAGGCGGAAUUCCCGGUGUAGAGGUGAAAUUCGUAGAUAUCGGGAGGAACACCAGAGGCGAAGGCGGCUUCCUGGACGGCUACUGACGCUGAGGAGCGAAAGCUAGGGGAGCAAACGGGAGUAGAUACCCGUGUAGUCC
This 274-nucleotide ribosomal RNA is filed under the name uncultured bacterium. RNAcentral describes it as "partial 16S ribosomal RNA". It matches the Rfam family "Bacterial small subunit ribosomal RNA", at positions 523 to 796 of the family's 1533-position model. The record is from RNAcentral.